GUUCUUUAAAUAAGGACUAGUAUGAAUGGCAUCACGAGGGCUUAACUGUCUCCCCCCUCUAAUCAAUAAAACUGAUCUCCCCGUGAAGAAGCGGGAAUAAAAUUAUAAGACGAGAAGACCCCUUGGAGCUUCAAACUAAUUAUCACCUACUUUAAAUACAUCAUAUAAAAUAGUAGAUACUGCUCUUAAUGGUUUUAGGUUGGGGCGACCCCGGAGUAAAACUAAACCUCCAGGAUGAACGGAUAAAAUCCUAAUUAAAGAAUUACCAUUCUAUAACUCAAAAAUUUGACACCUUUGAUCCAAUAUAAAUUUAUUGAUCAACGAACCAAGUUACCCCGGGGAUAACAGCGCUAUCCAUUUCAAGAGCCCCUAUCGACAAAUGGGUUUACGACCUCGAUGUUGGAUCGGGAUAUCCUAGCAACGCAGCCGUUGCUUAUGGUUCGUUUGUUCAACGAUUAA
Molecule: ribosomal RNA, 459 nt
Filed under: Hyperolius pusillus (water lily reed frog)
Lineage: Eukaryota; Metazoa; Chordata; Amphibia; Anura; Hyperoliidae
Description: partial 16S ribosomal RNA
Rfam family: Bacterial large subunit ribosomal RNA
Source: RNAcentral